CAAGUCGAGCGAGGCCUGGGGGGCAACUCCCAGAGUCGAGCGGCGGACGGGUGAGUAACACGUGGGUAACCUGCCCGGAAGUGGGGAAUACCUCGGGGAAACUCGAGCUAAUACCGCAUGACAUCUUCGGGACGAAAGUCCUGACGAUCAAAGCGGGGUCGCAAGAUCUCGCGCUACCGGAUGGGCCCGCGCCCGAUUAGCUAGUUGGUGAGGUAACGGCUCACCAAGGCUUCGAUCGGUAACCGGCCUGAGAGGGCGAUCGGUCACACCGGAACUGAGACACGGUCCGGACUCCUACGGGAGGCAGCAGUGGGGAAUCUUGCGCAAUGGGCGAAAGCCUGACGCAGCAACGCCGCGUGGAGGAUGAAGGCCCUUGGGUUGUAAACUCCUGUCGGCUGGGAAGAAAUCGUUCGUGGCUAAUACCCACGGACGUUGACUGUACCAGCAAAGGAAGCCCCGGCUAACUCUGUGCCAGCAGCCGCGGUAAUACAGAGGGGGCCAGCGUUAUUCGGAAUUAUUGGGCGUAAAGGGCGCGUAGGCGGCCAUGCGUGUCUUCCGUGAAAUCCCUCGGCUUAACUGAGGACGUGCGGAAGAAACUGCAAGGCUCGAGUCCGGGAGAGGGGGGUGGAAUUCCCAGUGUAGCGGUGAAAUGCGUAGAUAUUGGGAGGAACACCGGUGGCGAAGGCGGCCCCCUGGACCGGUACUGACGCUGAGGCGCGAAAGCGUGGGUAGCAAACGGGAUUAGAUACCCCGGUAGUCCACGCCGUAAACGAUGGGCACUUGGUGUCGCGGGUAUCGACCCCUGCGGUGCCGAAGCUAACGCAUUAAGUG
Molecule: ribosomal RNA, 831 nt
Filed under: uncultured Acidobacteriota bacterium
Lineage: Bacteria; Pseudomonadati; Acidobacteriota
Description: bacterial SSU rRNA
Rfam family: Bacterial small subunit ribosomal RNA
Source: RNAcentral